CAGUACAAUAUUAUAUACAUUUGUAAGUAUGGGAUGCGGAAAAAAAUUAAACGAUAAUAAGAAGUCGUAGAGUAAUACACAAUUUCUUAAAAAAUGUUAAAGAUUAUGGCAAAAAGAAAAGUACUGGUCGGCCGUCAUCGUUAUCCGAUCGUGAUAAGCGAGCAAUUUUGCGUGUAGCUUCCAACUCGCAGUUAACAACGAAGCAAAUAAUGAAAAAAUCUAGUGUUAGUGCCAAUGUAUCAAGUGCUCGUCGAGUUCUACUAUCCUGCAAAAAUAUCAAGAGGCUAAAAUUGAAAAAGAAACGGAACACAAAGUAAAACGUUUACGCUUUGCAAAAGAAAGACUGCAUUGGACAAAGAAAUGGAGAAGACUACUAUUUUC
This 381-nucleotide unclassified non-coding RNA is filed under the name Bombus terrestris (buff-tailed bumblebee). RNAcentral describes it as "misc RNA ENSBTSG00005021338.1". The record is from RNAcentral. Lineage: Eukaryota; Metazoa; Arthropoda; Insecta; Hymenoptera; Apidae.